ACCUACUGUGGUGUAGUUGGUAGCGCUUUGGCACACUAAUUAUGUGUCCUAGGUUCAAGUCCCAGUUGAGGUA
Non-coding RNA from Halocaridina rubra (Hawaiian volcano shrimp), 73 nucleotides. NCBI's taxonomy places the organism in Eukaryota, Metazoa, Arthropoda, Malacostraca, Decapoda, Atyidae. The record is from the annotation of a GenBank genome assembly.